UUGAUCUGCCCAGCUUGCCUGGGUCCUUCUGUGUGCCCUCCUCGUCAGUGCUUGCCUGGAUCCUGCCUUGUGUUGUACUUUUGCAGGUGUUUUAUCCUGACAUGAAGCUCCUGCCCUCACUCAUGUUUGAUCUCACUCAAACUACAACUUGAGUUCUUUCUCAAGCUGGAGGCCUUUGGCUCAAAGCUUUGGGCAUGGUCUGUAGGUCACAUGGCGGCAUGGAUGGAUACACUGACCUCCCUUGCUAUUCCCCUUACCAUAGAGCUUAGAGACAGCAGCAGGUGAGGGGAGAGGGACGCUGUACACCGAGCUGGGUUAGAUUUUCAUUCCUAUCACUUAUUAGCUGUGCCACCUAGGUUAGUCACACGGUUCCCAGUUCUCAGUUUCUUCUUCUGUAAAAUGGGGAUUGGAAAAGGCUAACUGUACCCUACCUCCCAUGCAGGAGCUUUGCAAGUCAUAAAGUCCAGUGCAAAUGCAAGAGAUUGUUAGAAAACAAUCCUGGGGAAAGGGAAGUGAUGGAGGGCGUGGACUAGUCCACUCUCCUGCAGUUCUGCAGCCUCCUGGCUCUCUCUGAUUGCCCAGUAGAUAAGCCUUCCGCAAGACAAGGCCUAAAAAGCUUGGUCUGCCUAUUGUCCUAGGACUCCAACCGCAGCUGGGGUUCCUUCUGAUUUUUUUUUUUUUUUUGAUGGAGUUUCACUCUUGUCACCCAGGCUGGAGUGCAGGGGCACGAUCUCAGCUCACUGCAACCUCUGCUUCCCAGGUUCAAGUGAUUCUACUGCCUCAGCCUCCUGAGUAGCUGGGACUACAGACGCCGGCUACCAUGCCCGGCUAAUUUUUUUUUGUAUUUUUUAGUAGAGACAAGGUUUCACCAGACGAGGUUGGCCAGGCUGGUCUCGAACUCCUGACCUCAGGUGAUCCACCUGCCUUGGCCUCCCAAAGUGCUAGUAUUACAAGCGUGAGCAACCAUGCCCAGCCGUUCCUUCUGAUCUUAGAUGAUGCCUUAGUGAUUUCACUUACUUUCUAUUCCUUAGAAAAGAACUUGGAAUAUCCCAUGCUAGAGAGGUACAGUUCUGAUCACACUGCUCUUAUACUUAAAACUCUUAAUUUACUUCUAA
This 1115-nucleotide long non-coding RNA is filed under the name Macaca fascicularis (crab-eating macaque). RNAcentral describes it as "lncRNA (ENSMFAG00000047913.1)". Lineage: Eukaryota; Metazoa; Chordata; Mammalia; Primates; Cercopithecidae. The record is from RNAcentral.